This is a non-coding RNA of Dermacentor andersoni, 1214 nucleotides long. Lineage: Eukaryota; Metazoa; Arthropoda; Arachnida; Ixodida; Ixodidae. The record is from RefSeq and is a predicted model, not a curated record.
AGCAAGAAGUGGCACGUGGACCCCGUGCGGAGGAGCUCGCACGUGGUCCGCCCGACUCUUGGCCAAUCCCCGUGAGUGGGUAUGCGCCAAACUCAUCAAGGACAUCAUCGUCAUCAGCAGCUUCAGCAGCGAAGCCACGGUGUCCGCCAGACGAGUGCGCCGCUUGGGGAGAAGAGCUCCUGCCGGCGCUCCUGCUGCGGCCGUGUGACCAAGGUUCCACUACCCGGGCCUGAUGCAGAGGCGGGACCAAGGACAAGCCCUGCUGAGCGGCUUCUGCCAGUCCCCAGUGGCCGAGCGCCGUGUCUCGGUCGAGGCCUACCGAGGUACUGUCCGCCUGGGUCUACCCUGGGUCGCAGUCCUCGUGAGUUGUGGCCGGUCAUCGCAGUGGUGUCCUCAACGUAGACAGGCUCUGCGUGCGGUAUAGCCCAGCCGUGUGUAGGCGACGGCUCCAGCCGCAGCAACUGUGCCAGCUCUGCCUCGGCGCGCCUCGACGGCCGUACCGCACAAUGAGCAAACAAGCUGUCACCACCAACUAAAAGCGCUAGCAGCAUCGGUCGCCCCUUUGGUUUUCUGUAGUCCCGGUUUCGUGCAGUCAAAUACCACGUGCCUUGACCCUUUCCUGGAGAACACACCAAGGCACAAGUCAGCAUACCUGGGCCAGUACUUCGGCCAAGUCAUCUUACCUGGCCCACCGGAGGCACUGCUGCGCCUGCGUCUAGCAUACACCAGGAGUACAUAAGCAACCACGACGACAGCGGGUGCUCAUUCUGGCAGCGGUUGCGACAGCAAGCACACGCAAUAACCAAGCUACUCUGCAUCUGCAGGUGACCUGGAGGUGACACCGGUCAUCCACGGACAGGACAACUCCGAGGAUGAAGCUGACCAAGAGGGACGGGAGGCGGUCACGAAGGCCGUGAAAUGGAACAGCUCUCUUUCGAGCUCAUGAUUUCCAUCUCUAUGCGCAGAUGCCGAGCUUCGGCGGAAGGAGUGCAACCACCUAGAGGCACUGAAUUUCAUCACGAUGGCCGGACUACGUAGUCUUGCCGAAGAACGAGUCAUGAAAACUCAACACUUCCCUGGGAAAAGGGAACUGUCGAGGCGAACAUCAUGACAUCCACGCAAGCAGCUCUGAAGGGAACGUCGGAUCGAACCACAUCCUUGCUGGUUUAGGCGGCGAAUAAAAUCUUUAAAAUGUUGAAAUGUAUUUCUGUCUG